Molecule: ribosomal RNA, 464 nt
Filed under: uncultured bacterium
Lineage: Bacteria
Description: partial 16S ribosomal RNA
Rfam family: Bacterial small subunit ribosomal RNA
Source: RNAcentral
CUACGGGACGCAGCAGUGGGGAAUAUUGCACAAUGGGCGCAAGCCUGAUGCAGCCAUGCCGCGUGUAUGAAGAAGGCCUUCGGGUUGUAAAGUACUUUCAGCGGGGAGGAAGGGAGUAAAGUUAAUACCUUUGCUCAUUGACGUUACCCGCAGAAGAAGCACCGGCUAACUCCGUGCCAGCAGCCGCGGUAAUACGGAGGGUGCAAGCGUUAAUCGGAAUUACUGGGCGUAAAGCGCAUGCAGGCGGUUUGUUAAGUCAGAUGUGAAAUCCCCGGGCUCAACCUGGGAACUGCACCUGAUACUGGCAAGCUUGAGUCUCGUAGAGGGGGGUAGAAUUCCAGGUGUAGCGGUGAAAUGCGUAGAGAUCUGGAGGAAUACCGGUGGCGAAGGCGGCCCCCUGGACGAAGACUGACGCUCAGGUGCGAAAGCGUGGGGAGCAAACAGGAUUAGAUACCCGGGUAGUC